AGCAGCCGCGGUAAUUCCAGCUCCAAUAGCGUAUAUUAAAGUUGCUGCAGUUAAAAAGCUCGUAGUUGAAUUUCGGGAUCAAUAUGUCGGUCGUGCCUCGGUACGCACUGGCUUAUUGGUUUCUCCCUUCUGACGAACCAUGAUGUCAUUAAUUUGGUGUCUUGGGAGAUCAGGACUGUUACUUUGAAAAAUUAGAGUGUUUAAAGCAGGCUCACGCUUGAAUACAUUAGCAUGGAAUAAUGAAAUAGGAUGUUUGAUUCUAUUUUGUUGGUUUCUAGGAUCGACGUAAUGAUUAAUAGGGAUAGUUGGGGGCAUUAGUAUUCAAUUGUCAGAGGUGAAAUUCUUGGAUUUAUUGAAGACUAACUACUGCGAAAGCAUUUGCCAAGGAUGUUUUCAUUAAUCAAGAACGAAAGUUAGGGGAUCGAAGACGAUCAGAUACCGUCGUAGUCUUAACCAUA
Molecule: ribosomal RNA, 458 nt
Filed under: uncultured Glomus
Lineage: Eukaryota; Fungi; Glomeromycota; Glomeromycetes; Glomerales; Glomeraceae
Description: SSU rRNA
Rfam family: Eukaryotic small subunit ribosomal RNA
Source: RNAcentral